CCUACGGGAGGCAGCAGUGGGGAAUAUUGGGCAAUGGGCGCAAGCCUGACCCAGCAACGCCGCGUGAAGGAAGAAGGCUCUCGGGUUGUAAACUUCUUUUCUCAGGGACGAAGCAAGUGACGGUACCUGAGGAAUAAGCCACGGCUAACUACGUGCCAGCAGCCGCGGUAAUACGGGGGUUGCAGGCGUUAUCCGGGUUUACUGGGUGUAAAGGGCGGGUAGGCGGGACUGCAAGUCAGAUGUGAAAACCCUGGGCGCAACCUCGGGCCUGCCGUGGAAACUGUGGUGGUGGAGGGCUGGGGAGGCAGGCGGAAUGCCUAGUGUAGCGGUGAAAUGCGUAGAUAUUAGGAGGAACAACGGUGGCGAAGGCGGUAUGCUGGACAGUAACUGACGCUGAGGCUCGAAAGCGUGGGGAGCAAACAGGAUUAGAUACCCUUGUAGUC
RNAcentral lists this ribosomal RNA (443 nucleotides) under uncultured bacterium. RNAcentral describes it as "partial 16S ribosomal RNA". It matches the Rfam family "Bacterial small subunit ribosomal RNA", at positions 338 to 795 of the family's 1533-position model. The record is from RNAcentral.